GUCGAACGGCAGCACAGGAGAGCUUGCUCUCUGGGUGGCGAGUGGCGGACGGGUGAGGAAUACAUCGGAAUCUACUCUGUCGUGGGGGAUAACGUAGGGAAACUUACGCUAAUACCGCAUACGACCUACGGGUGAAAGCAGGGGACCUUCGGGCCUUGCGCGAUUGAAUGAGCCGAUGUCGGAUUAGCUAGUUGGCGGGGUAAAGGCCCACCAAGGCGACGAUCCGUAGCUGGUCUGAGAGGAUGAUCAGCCACACUGGAACUGAGACACGGUCCAGACUCCUACGGGAGGCAGCAGUGGGGAAUAUUGGACAAUGGGCGCAAGCCUGAUCCAGCCAUACCGCGUGGGUGAAGAAGGCCUUCGGGUUGUAAAGCCCUUUUGUUGGGAAAGAAAUCCAGCUGGCUAAUACCCGGUUGGGAUGACGGUACCCAAAGAAUAAGCACCGGCUAACUUCGUGCCAGCAGCCGCGGUAAUACGAAGGGUGCAAGCGUUACUCGGAAUUACUGGGCGUAAAGCGUGCGUAGGUGGUCGUUUAAGUCCGUUGUGAAAGCCCUGGGCUCAACCUGGGAACUGCAGUGGAUACUGGGCGACUAGAAUGUGGUAGAGGGUAGCGGAAUUCCUGGUGUAGCAGUGAAAUGCGUAGAGAUCAGGAGGAACAUCCAUGGCGAAGGCAGCUACCUGGACCAACAUUGACACUGAGGCACGAAAGCGUGGGGAGCAAAACAGGAUUAGAUACCCUGGUAGUCCACGCCCUAAACGAUGCGAACUGGAUGUUGGGUGCAAUUUGGCACGCAGUAUCGCAGCUAACACGUUAAGUUCGCCGCCCUGGGGGAGUACAGGUCGCAGGACUGAAACUACACAAGAAUUGACUGGGGGCCCGGCACAACCAGUGUAUCAUGCUGGUUUUAAUUACGAUGCCAUCGCCACG
RNAcentral lists this ribosomal RNA (928 nucleotides) under Stenotrophomonas sp. Vr4. RNAcentral describes it as "bacterial SSU rRNA". It matches the Rfam family "Bacterial small subunit ribosomal RNA", at positions 61 to 963 of the family's 1533-position model. The record is from RNAcentral. Lineage: Bacteria; Pseudomonadati; Pseudomonadota; Gammaproteobacteria; Lysobacterales; Lysobacteraceae.